Molecule: ribosomal RNA, 231 nt
Filed under: uncultured bacterium
Lineage: Bacteria
Description: partial 16S ribosomal RNA
Rfam family: Bacterial small subunit ribosomal RNA
Source: RNAcentral
CGGGUGAGUAACGCGUGGGUAACCUGCCUUAUACAGGGGGAUAACAGUCAGAAAUGACUGCUAAUACCGCAUAAGCGCACAGAGCUGCAUGGCUCGGUGUGAAAAACUCCGGUGGUAUAAGAUGGACCCGCGUUGGAUUAGCUAGUUGGUGAGGUAACGGCCCACCAAGGCGACGAUCCAUAGCCGGCCUGAGAGGGUGAACGGCCACAUUGGGACUGAGACACGGCCCAA